RNAcentral lists this long non-coding RNA (3073 nucleotides) under Salmo salar (Atlantic salmon). RNAcentral describes it as "lncRNA (ENSSSAG00000085358.1, ENSSSAG00000114483.1)". The record is from RNAcentral. Lineage: Eukaryota; Metazoa; Chordata; Actinopteri; Salmoniformes; Salmonidae.
CACACACACACACACACACACACACACACACACACACACACACACACACACAGCCUCAUAGGUUCAUACACACACACAGCCUCAUAGGUUCAUACACACACACAGCCUCAUAGGUUCACACAGUGUAAGUAAGCUACUCCCCGAGCCCAGAUAGGAUUUAGUUAUUAAAAAUGAGUAGUACUACUGUUGAGUAAAAGUUAGACAGUGUUAAUGUGACUACUGACUAAGGCUUCUCAUACUGAACUUGAAGGAUCCCUCACACAGAGGACAAAACAGAAAAGAUGUCCGAUAAAACUGCAGUUCCUCACAAUAAAAUGACAGCUCUUAAGAUUGUUAAAAUAGAAUGAAGACCAGCUCUAUAUAUGACAUUAAAACAAAAUGUUUUGAGCUGAUUGGAACUCUGGAUCCAAUUCAUUAAGACAGGCCUUUGAAGGCGUUAGAAAAGUCCCCUUUAUCAAUAUGUUCUCUGGGCUGGCUCAGUCCAGUCCAACCUGCAUUGAGUAAUAUGUGGAUUCAAGCUUCAGGUAGAUAGCUGUGAGGAAAGGCUCUCUUUUCUUUCUCUGACUCCCCAGUAAACAUGAACCCAUUGGCCCCAUGUGGGUAUUCGGUGGGCAAGGUGGGCUAGCCCACACCAACCCCACACCAACCCAACACAGGCUAGCCCACACCAACCCCACACCAACCCAACACAGGCUAGCCCACACCAACCCCACACCAACCCAACACAGGCUAGCCCACACCAACCCCACACCAACCCAACACAGGCUAGCCCACACCAACCCCACACAGGCUAGCCCACACCAACCCCACACCAAUCCAACACAGGCUAGCCCACACCACACCAACCCCACACCAACCCAACACAGGCUAGCCCACACCAACCCCACACAGGCUAGCACACACCAACCCCAAACCAAUCCAACACAGGCUAGCCCACACCAACCCCACACCAACCCAACACAGGCUAGCCCACACCAACCCCACACCAACCCCACACCAACCCCACACAGGCUAGCACACACCAACCCCAAACCAAUCCAACACAGGCUAGCCCACACCAACCCCACACCAACCCAACACAGGCUAGCCCACACCAACCCCACACAGGCUAGCCCACACCAACCCCAAACCAAUCCAACACAGGCUAGCCCACACCAACCCCACACCAACCCAACACAGGCUAGCCCACACCAACCCCACACCAACCCAACACAGGCUAGCCCACACCAACCCAACACAGGGUAGUCUACAUCAACACAACACAGGCCAGCCCACACCAACCCAACACAGGCUAGCCCACACCAACCCCACACCAACCCAACACAGGCUAGCCCACACCAACCCAACACAGGCUAGCCCACACCAACCCAACACAGGCUAGCCCACACCAACACAACACUGGCCAGGCCACACCAACACAGGCUUGCCCACACCAACCCAACACAGGCUAGCCCACACCAAUCCCACACCAACCCAACACAGGCUAGCCCACACCAACCCAACACAGGCUAGCCCACACCAAUCCCACACCAACCCAACACAGGCUAGCCCACACCAACCCAACACAGGCUAGCCCACACCAACACAACACUGGCCAGGCCACACCAACACAGGCCAGCCCACACCAACCCAACACAGGCUAGCCCACACCAAUCCCACACCAACCCAACACAGGCUAGCACAAUCCCACACCAACCCAACACAGGCUAGCCCACACCAACCCCACACCAACCCAACACAGGCUAGCCCACACCAACCCAACACAGGCUAGCCCACACCAACCCAACACAGGCUAGCCCACACCAACACAACACUGGCCAGGCCACACCAACACAGGCUUGCCCACACCAACACAACACAGGCUUGCCCACACCAUCCCAACACAGGGUAGCCCACACCAACACAACACGGCAAGGUCACACCAACCCAACACAGGGUAGCCCACACCAACCCAACACAGGGUAGCCCACACCAACACAACACGGGCAAGGUCACACCAACACAACACGGGCAAGGUCACACCAACACAACACGGGCAAGGUCACACAAACACAACACGGGCAAGGUCACACCAACACAACACGGGCAAGGUCACACCAACACAACACGGGCAAGGUCACACCAACACAACACGGGCAAGGUCACACCAACACAACACGGGCAAGGUCACACCAAGCCCAGCUAGAGGCGGGGGCUCAUUAGAAUAUUUGGGGGCGUGGUUUACACACAGUUGUUUUUGUGCAGCCGUUACUGAGAGUGUGGUUCCUGUUGAAGUGUGGUUCCUGUUGAAGUGUGGUUCCUGUUGAAGUGUGGUUCCUGUUGAAGUGUUCUGUGUUGUGCUGCCUAUAUCCUGAUGAUCUUGUAAACGGCUAAUGAUCAAGUCUUUAGAAACACUUAUAUAAAUGUUUCUCUUGUUAAAUAUAUUCUGUAUGUAUGAUGGUAAUAACUUGGUUGUCUUUCUGAAAAAAUUGUAUCACGUUCCAUAAAUACCUGUAAGAGUAGAAAAUUAUGCAAUUUAUGCAUUGAAUUAAGUUUAAAUAAAUAAAUAUUAAAUAGCGAAGGCGCAUCAGCCCAAUGUGGGCAGCUUACAAGGGGUCAAUAUUUUAGCCUGCAUUGGGUUCAAAUCGUGACAAUUUGGACAUGUUUGCUGGGAAAAGAAGGGUGUAUUUCAGACAAAGUGACAGCUGCCUCACCAGAUCUGGGCUGCCCACACUGAGCCACACUGGGCAAAUGCCUUGGGGGCCAAUGUGGAGCCGAUGAGCAAAGGCGCAUCGGCCCAAUGUGGGCAGCCUAGAUGGGGCCAAUAUUUUAGCCCGAAUUGGGCCCACAUCGAGACAAUGUGGACAUGUUUGCUGGGGCUAAAACCUACAAUCUCUAGUUCCUUGUAAUUUUAUCGCUCUCUCCACGGUGCCGUGAGAAAACAAUAUAGUCCAAAUCUCCCAAUCUCCUUAAUGUUGUUCUAAUCUAAUGGAUCAUACACACACCUAAUGUCUCACAUUGGGCAUAUUAAGCAGAUUGCCUGCGUUAAACUACUGCUGUCAGAGCAGCAUGACAGACAUUACCAGCACUUAAG